This 163-nucleotide unclassified non-coding RNA is filed under the name uncultured Nectriaceae. Its description in RNAcentral is "sequence contains ITS2". The record is from RNAcentral. Lineage: Eukaryota; Fungi; Ascomycota; Sordariomycetes; Hypocreales; Nectriaceae.
CAACCCUCAAGCCCUCGGGUUUGGUGUUGGGGAUCGGCGAGCCCUUGCGGCAAGCCGGCCCCGAAAUCUAGUGGCGGUCUCGCUGCAGCUUCCCUUUCGUAGUAGUAAAACCCCCGCAACUGGUACGCGGCGCGGCCAAGCCGUUAAACCCCCAACUUCUGAA